Molecule: small nuclear RNA, 287 nt
Filed under: Microtus ochrogaster (prairie vole)
Lineage: Eukaryota; Metazoa; Chordata; Mammalia; Rodentia; Cricetidae
Description: 7SK RNA (ENSMOCG00000005627.1)
Rfam family: 7SK RNA
About the family: 7SK was discovered as an abundant small nuclear RNA in the mid-70s but a possible function has only recently been suggested. Two independent studies have found that 7SK RNA binds the CDK9/cyclin T complex (known as elongation factor P-TEFb).
Source: RNAcentral
GAACAAUCUGGCCACAUCAGCCACCUGACUGAUCACUAAAGUUGAUUUAAUUGACCUGGUGGCAAGGUUGGAUCCCCUUCCUACAUCCAUUUUUGUCCCUUCUGAAAUUGAGCACUGGAUUAAAGUGACCUUCCCAGAAGAGAGGGGUACUAGUCUUCAAUGAAGACAAUAUAAGCAGCUGUGCUACCCAGCUAGAACCUCCAAAUAAGUUCUCAAGCUUUAAGAGUGCAUUUUAGUGCCAGAUUUCUUGCUAUCCACAUAAUGAUUCCCUCAAUCAAGACAUCUCU